ACGGGUGAGUAAUACAUCGGAACGUGUCCUGUAGUGGGGGAUAGCCCGGCGAAAGCCGGAUUAAUACCGCAUACGAUCUGUGGAUGAAAGCGGGGGAUCCUUCGGGACCUCGCGCUACAGGGGCGGCCGAUGGCAGAUUAGCUAGUUGGUGGGGUAAAGGCCUACCAAGGCGACGAUCUGUAGCUGGUCUGAGAGGACGACCAGCCACACUGGGACUGAGACACGGCCCAGACUCCUACGGGAGGCAGCAGUGGGGAAUUUUGGACAAUGGGCGAAAGCCUGAUCCAGCAAUGCCGCGUGUGUGAAGAAGGCCUUCGGGUUGUAAAGCACUUUUGUCCGGAAAGAAAACCUCGUGGUUAAUACCCGUGGGGGAUGACGGUACCGGAAGAAUAAGCACCGGCUAACUACGUGCCAGCAGCCGCGGUAAUACGUAGGGUGCAAGCGUUAAUCGGAAUUACUGGGCGUAAAGCGUGCGCAGGCGGUCCGCUAAGACAGAUGUGAAAUCCCCGGGCUUAACCUGGGAACUGCAUUUGUGACUGGCGGGCUAGAGUAUGGCAGAGGGGGGUAGAAUUCCACGUGUAGCAGUG
Molecule: ribosomal RNA, 587 nt
Filed under: uncultured bacterium
Lineage: Bacteria
Description: bacterial SSU rRNA
Rfam family: Bacterial small subunit ribosomal RNA
Source: RNAcentral